Molecule: ribosomal RNA, 253 nt
Filed under: uncultured prokaryote
Description: partial 16S ribosomal RNA
Rfam family: Bacterial small subunit ribosomal RNA
Source: RNAcentral
ACGUAGGGCGCAAGCGUUGUCCGGAAUUAUUGGGCGUAAAGAGCUCGUAGGCGGUUUGUCGCGUCUGGUGUGAAAACUCAAGGCUCAACCUUGAGCUUGCAUCGGGUACGGGCAGACUAGAGUGCGGUAGGGGUGACUGGAAUUCCUGGUGUAGCGGUGGAAUGCGCAGAUAUCAGGAGGAACACCGGUGGCGAAGGCGGCAUCCUGGACCGGCAUUGACGCUGAGGCGCGAAAGCCAGGGGAGCAAACGGGA